CAUAUACUCCCUCCGUCCGGAAAUACUUGUCGCGGAAAUGCAUAAAAUGGAUGUACCUAGAACUAGAAUAUGUCUAGAUACAUCCAUUCCUCCGACAAGUAUUUUUGGACGGAGGGAGUAGAUG
Molecule: non-coding RNA, 124 nt
Organism: Triticum aestivum (bread wheat)
Lineage: Eukaryota; Viridiplantae; Streptophyta; Magnoliopsida; Poales; Poaceae
Source: Rfam